Molecule: ribosomal RNA, 621 nt
Filed under: Triticum aestivum (bread wheat)
Lineage: Eukaryota; Viridiplantae; Streptophyta; Magnoliopsida; Poales; Poaceae
Description: partial small subunit ribosomal RNA
Source: RNAcentral
AUGAUUCAAGAACGCCCUGACUUCAAGACACUCGAUCCGUCUGACAUACUUGAAAGGCUCAACACACAUGAGUUUCAGCUUUCUGAGAAAAGAGACAUCUACGGUCCCAACUAUGGGCGAACUCGUGCUUUGAAGGCAAAAGCUGUUUCCUCAUCAGAAGAAGAAUCUAAGUGCAGUUCGGAUGAUCCUGAAGACAUUGGAAAGGAGCAUGCUAUGCUUGUGAAGAAGUUUCAGAAAUUCACCAAGAAGAAAGGCUUCAGAAAGUCCUCACGAUCCAGCUCAAGGAAUGAUGAAGCUUUUGCUCAUGACUACAAGAAGAGAACAUGUCACAAGUGCAAGAAACCUGGUCACUACAUCUCUGAGUGUCCGCAGAGGGACAAUGAGAACAACAAGAAGAAGAAGAGCAAGGAAUAUGAUUCUGACGACAAGAAGAAGAAGAAAUACUCAAAGUCUUCUUCCAAGUCUUCCUCAAAGUCUUCAUCGCACAAGAAGAGCUCAUCUGACAAGGCUCGUGCGUUUGUUGGCAAAGAAAUGGAUUCAGAGGAGGAGUCCACUUCUGAGGAGGCGGAGGUGGAGUCUAAGGAGGAGUCCGAUUCUGGCGUUGCAAGUCUGGCUACAACA